This 129-nucleotide ribosomal RNA is filed under the name Pseudobutyrivibrio xylanivorans. RNAcentral describes it as "partial 16S ribosomal RNA". It matches the Rfam family "Bacterial small subunit ribosomal RNA", at positions 1 to 108 of the family's 1533-position model. Lineage: Bacteria; Bacillati; Bacillota; Clostridia; Lachnospirales; Lachnospiraceae. The record is from RNAcentral.
UUUAACAUGAGAGUUUGAUCCUGGCUCAGGAUGAACGCUGGCGGCGUGCUUAACACAUGCAAGUCGAACGAAGCAAUUUUCUACGAUCCCUUCGGGGUGACGGAUUAUUGACUGAGUGGCGGACGGGUG